AUGGGAACGCGAAGAACCUUACCUACUCUUGACAUCCAGAGAACUUUCCAGAGAUAGAUUGGUGCCUUCGGGAACUCUGAGACAGGUGCUGCAUGGCUGUCGUCAGCUCGUGUUGUGAAAUGUUGGGUUAAAGUCCCGCAACGAGCGCAACCCUUAUCCUUUGUUGCCAGCGGUUCGGCCGGGAACUCAAAGGAGACUGCCAGUGAUAAACUGGAGGAAGGUGGGGAUGACGUCAAGUCAUCAUGGCCCUUACGAGUAGGGCUACACACGUGCUACAAUGGCGCAUACAAAGAGAAGCGACCUCGCGAGAGCAAGCGGACCUCAUAAAGUGCGUCGUAGUCCGGAUUGGAGUCUGCAACUCGACUCCAUGAAGUCGGAAUCGCUAGUAAUCGUAGAUCAGAAUGCUACGGUG
Molecule: ribosomal RNA, 412 nt
Filed under: uncultured bacterium
Lineage: Bacteria
Description: bacterial SSU rRNA
Rfam family: Bacterial small subunit ribosomal RNA
Source: RNAcentral